RNAcentral lists this ribosomal RNA (287 nucleotides) under uncultured Campylobacter sp. RNAcentral's name for it is "partial 16S ribosomal RNA". It matches the Rfam family "Bacterial small subunit ribosomal RNA", at positions 179 to 486 of the family's 1533-position model. The record is from RNAcentral. Lineage: Bacteria; Pseudomonadati; Campylobacterota; Epsilonproteobacteria; Campylobacterales; Campylobacteraceae.
CUGCUUAACACAAGUUGAGUAGGGAAAGUUUUUCGGUGUAGGAUGAGACUAUAUAGUAUCAGCUAGUUGGUGAGGUAAUAGCUCACCAAGGCUAUGACGCUUAACUGGUCUGAGAGGAUGAUCAGUCACACUGGAACUGAGACACGGUCCAGACUCCUACGGGAGGCAGCAGUAGGGAAUAUUGCGCAAUGGGGGAAACCCUGACGCAGCAACGCCGCGUGGAGGACGACACUUUUCGGAGCGUAAACUCCUUUUCUUAGGGAAGAAUUCUGACGGUACCUAAGGAA